AUUGAACGCUGGCGGCAUGCCUUACACAUGCAAGUCGAACGGCAGCGGGGGAGAAGCUUGCUUUUCCUGCCGGCGAGUGGCGAACGGGUGAGUAAUACAUCGGAACGUGCCCUGUAGUGGGGGAUAACUAGUCGAAAGAUUAGCUAAUACCGCAUACGACCUGAGGGUGAAAGUGGGGGACCGCAAGGCCUCAUGCUAUAGGGGCGGCCGAUGUCGGAUUAGCUAGUUGGUGGGGUAAAGGCCUACCAAGGCGACGAUCAGUAGCUGGUCUGAGAGGACGAUCAGCCACACUGGGACUGAGACACGGCCCAGACUCCUACGGGAGGCAGCAGUGGGGAAUUUUGGACAAUGGGCGAAAGCCUGAUCCAGCAAUGCGGCGUGUGUGAAGAAGGCCUUCGGGUUGUAAAGCACUUUUGUCCGGAAAGAAAUGGCUCUGGUUAAUACCUGGGGUCGAUGACGGUACCGGAAGAAUAAGGACCGGCUAACUACGUGCCAGCCGCCGCCGUAA
RNAcentral lists this ribosomal RNA (508 nucleotides) under uncultured bacterium. RNAcentral's name for it is "partial 16S ribosomal RNA". It matches the Rfam family "Bacterial small subunit ribosomal RNA", at positions 30 to 523 of the family's 1533-position model. The record is from RNAcentral.